CUGAGAGGAUGAACGGCCACACUGGAACUGAGACACGGUCCAGACUCCUACGGGAGGCAGCAGUGGGGAAUCUUUCCGCAAUGGGCGAAAGCCUGACGGAGCAACGCCGCGUGAGUGAUGACGGCCUUCGGGUUGUAAAACUCUGUGAUCCGGGACGCAAAAGGCAGAGUGCGAAGAACAAACUGCAUUGACGGUACCGAAAAGC
Molecule: ribosomal RNA, 205 nt
Filed under: uncultured Dialister sp.
Lineage: Bacteria; Bacillati; Bacillota; Negativicutes; Veillonellales; Veillonellaceae
Description: partial 16S ribosomal RNA
Rfam family: Bacterial small subunit ribosomal RNA
Source: RNAcentral